RNAcentral lists this ribosomal RNA (496 nucleotides) under uncultured bacterium. Its description in RNAcentral is "partial 16S ribosomal RNA". It matches the Rfam family "Bacterial small subunit ribosomal RNA", at positions 28 to 506 of the family's 1533-position model. The record is from RNAcentral.
GACGAACGCUGGCGGCGUGCCUAAUACAUGCAAGUCGAGCGAUGAAGAUUGGUGCUUGCUCCAAUUUGAAGAGCAGCGAACGGGUGAGUAACGCGUGGGGAAUCUGCCUUUGAGCGGGGGACAACAUUUGGAAACGAAUGCUAAUACCGCAUAACAACUUUAAACAUAAGUUUUAAGUUUGAAAGAUGCAAUUGCAUCACUCAAAGAUGAUCCCGCGUUGUAUUAGCUAGUUGGUGAGGUAAAGGCUCACCAAGGCGAUGAUACAUAGCCGACCUGAGAGGGUGAUCGGCCACAUUGGGACUGAGACACGGCCCAAACUCCUAAGGGAGGCAGCAGUAGGGAAUCUUCGGCAAUGGACGAAAGUCUGACCGAGCAACGCCGCGUGAGUGAAGAAGGUGUUCGGAUCGUAAAACUCUGUUGGUAGAGAAGAACGUUGGUGAGAGUGGAAAGCUCAUCAAGUGACGGUAACGAACAAGAAGGGGACGGCUAACUACGG